This 360-nucleotide long non-coding RNA is filed under the name Brassica napus (rape). Its description in RNAcentral is "long non-coding RNA (BNAP_LNC003634)". Lineage: Eukaryota; Viridiplantae; Streptophyta; Magnoliopsida; Brassicales; Brassicaceae. The record is from RNAcentral.
UUUUUGAUACUCUUGGUCAUUCUGAACAUAUUUUAUCAUUUUGUAAUAGAAAAAGUAGUAAACUAAAAUUUUAAAAUAUAAAAAAUAUGAAAAGCAUUGUAAACAUAAGUUGACUAUUUUAUAUGUUUAAAAUUCUUUUAAAAAAUAGGAAAUCAUAUUUUAUUUUAUGUCCUAGCUAUAGAAUACUCAUUUUGGCUAUCUACUUAUCCAGAGUUUGGGUAGUAAGUAUUUUCCAUUUUUGGACCACUCCUUUUAUUUUUGUUUUUCUGUUUUCUUUUUUGAAGAAUUGGAAAAAAUGGACACUUUCAAUUUUAUUUUGUCCCAAUAGGAUUUUUGAUACCCUUGGUCAUUUUGAACAGA